AUAGAGACUCAGAGCUGCAUAUCAAUAAGCGGAGGAAAAGAAACUAACGAGGAUUCCCUUAGUAACGGCGAGUGAAGCGGGAAGAGCUCAAAUUUGAAAUCUUCAAGGUUCUACCUUGACGAAUUGUAGUUUAUAGAAGUGUUUUCUGUUAGUAGAGUGGCAAAAGUUCUUUGGAAUAGGACAUCAUAGAGGGUGAGAAUCCCGUAUUUGAUCAUUCCUUCUAGCUGUGUGAUACACUUUCAAAGAGUCGGAUUGUUUGGGAAUGCAGUCCAAAGUGGGUGGUAAAUUUCAUCUAAAGCUAAAUAUUGGCGAGAGACCGAUAGCGAACAAGUACCGUGAGGGAAAGAUGAAAAGAACUUUGAAAAGAGAGUUAAACAGUACGUGAAAUUGUCAAAAGGGAAGCGUUUGACACCAGUGUUGUUUUUCCGAAAAUCAAUUACGAAUGUUUUAUUUUUGAGGAGUUAUGACUUCAUCGGCUUGCUCCUUUCUUUAUGGAACUUUCUUAAUGCACUUUUCGGUUAACAAGUCAACAUCAAUUUCUUUUGUUGUAAAAGAGUUAUGAGGAAGGUGGCUUUAUUUUCGGAGUAAAGUGUUUAUAGCCUUGUACUCUGCAAUCGGAGAGAUUGAGGUCUGCAGCGUAGACUCCUUCUGGGGCUAGAUACACUUUGUGCUAAGUUAUAGCUUGUCAUAGACAACUUGUUGACUAUGUUCAGUCAUUGUAGCUUACUCGCUAGAUGCUAUCUUACCUACGCUUAGGAUGUUGACGAGACUGUCGAUCUC
This 780-nucleotide ribosomal RNA is filed under the name uncultured Neocallimastigales. RNAcentral describes it as "partial large subunit ribosomal RNA". It matches the Rfam family "Eukaryotic large subunit ribosomal RNA", at positions 23 to 647 of the family's 3401-position model. The record is from RNAcentral. Lineage: Eukaryota; Fungi; Neocallimastigomycota; Neocallimastigomycetes; Neocallimastigales.